CACCCCUAGACCACCGCUACCAAGGCAGGUUCACCUAAGAAAUAGCCAGAAUAACUAGUGCAUUAAUGAGAUGGUGAACUUUUCCUGCCUGGAAUCUGGGGCAGGUCCUUAUGUACCCACAUGAGACAGGUACCUACCUCCCUGAGUCUAUGCUUUUCUGAAGAAAACAGAUUUUUCUAAAUUCUUCAGAAAAGAAUAACCUCUCCUUUUCUUCCUCUGUCUCUUUUCUAAGCCUGCUUUUCCUGACACUUUGGGCGGUCCCAAUAAUUUGGGCCUUUUCACUCUUCCUUUAUGCUCCCUGCCAUGUGGCUUGUAGAAAGCCAUGUGUCUGACCUCCACGAUGGCUUAAGGCAUGGGUUUCUUCUCUUUCUCUCUUCCGCUGACCUCCUUAAAGCUCCUCUUUACAGCUUGCCUGCCCUUCAAGUUUUUCUUUCAAACUCUAACAAAAUUGUCCUAAAGCUUCUAUGUGAGUCCAUUCUUCAAUUAUUUCAUUAAUGACACUGAAAACCCCAAGAGAGGACCCUGUUUUCAUGGGUAUCAUUUGGUGAACAAGAUGGGACACCCAAAAUUCCAGUAACAACAGAAGACAAGAGAGAAGUCAUAAUGCCAAACCUGCUCUUGUCUUGGAUUCCAGGAACAGCAGAAGCUUGCAGGGCAAUCCUACCUCCAAAUGAGGGUGUGUCCACCUGGAGGGGCAGAGCUACAUCCUGGAAAAGUCCAAACUUCAUUGAAUCCUUCAAGUAUUAAGGACUUUGGAACCAGCUUGUAAGACCAGAGUUGAAACAAUGAUAAAGUUUGCCACACAAAUACCAAGACUGUCUAAUUACAUGUACUUCUUACCCUUUGCCCCAGUUCUUCCUAAAGCUAAAGCUCAUGUCUGCACACAGAAAAUGGGCUUGAGGUCACCAAACACCUUGAUUAGGUCCUCUUACCCAUGUGGCCACACUGAAUAAACCCCUGCCUUUCACCCUUA
Nannospalax galili (Upper Galilee mountains blind mole rat) is the source of this 973-nucleotide long non-coding RNA. RefSeq lists it as uncharacterized. NCBI's taxonomy places the organism in Eukaryota, Metazoa, Chordata, Mammalia, Rodentia, Spalacidae. The transcript has 2 exons. The record is from RefSeq and is a predicted model, not a curated record.